GCAUGCUGCAUCUACGCAGGGAGUGAGUGAGUGAAAGAGAGGGAGCGAGAAACGGAGAGAUUGGAAAAAGGUGUCAGUUUUGCUUCUAUUUUUCUGUUAUUUGGCGGCUUCUUUCGUUUAUUUUCUGGUCUUGUAACUUCU
Molecule: non-coding RNA, 141 nt
Filed under: uncultured Chlorophyceae
Lineage: Eukaryota; Viridiplantae; Chlorophyta; Chlorophyceae
Source: RNAcentral